ACGCCUAACACAUGCAAGUCGAACGAAGUAGCAAUACUUAGUGGCAGACGGGUGAGUAACAUGUAGGUAUCUGCCCUUUGGCCUGGAAUAACACGAGGAAACUUGUGCUAAUACCGGAUAAGUCUUUACGGAGAAAGCUUUACGCACCAUUGGAUGAGCCUGCACUUGAUUAGUUUGUUGGUGGGGUAAUGGCCUACCAAGACUGUGAUCAAUAGCUGAUUUGAGAGGAUGAUCAGCCACAUUGGGACUGAGACACGGCCCAAACUCCUACGGGAGGCAGCAGUGGGGAAUCUUGCACAAUGGAGGAAACUCUGAUGCAGCGAUGCCGCGUGAGUGAAGAAGGCCCUUGGGUUGUAAAGCUCUUUCGUCGGGGAAGAAAAUGACUGUACCCGAAUAAGAAGGUCCGGCUAACUUCGUGCCAGCAGCCGCGGUAAUACGAAGGGACCUAGCGUAGUUCGGAAUUACUGGGCUUAAAGAGUUCGUAGGUGGUUGAAAAAGUUGGUGGUGAAAUCCCAGAGCUUAACUCUGGAACUGCCAUCAAAACUUUUCAGCUAGAGUAUGAUAGAGGAAAGCAGAAUUUCUAGUGUAGAGGUGAAAUUCGUAGAUAUUAGAAAGAAUACCGAUUGCGAAGGCAGCUUUCUGGAUCAUUACUGACACUGAGGAACGAAAGCAUGGGUAGCGAAGAGGAUUAGAUACCCUCGUAGUCCAUGCCGUAAACGAUGUGUGUUAGACGUUGGAAAUUUAUUUUCAGUGUCGCAGCGAAAGCGAUAAACACACCGCCUGGGGAGUACGAC
RNAcentral lists this ribosomal RNA (794 nucleotides) under uncultured Pelagibacteraceae bacterium. RNAcentral's name for it is "bacterial SSU rRNA". It matches the Rfam family "Bacterial small subunit ribosomal RNA", at positions 44 to 886 of the family's 1533-position model. Lineage: Bacteria; Pseudomonadati; Pseudomonadota; Alphaproteobacteria; Candidatus Pelagibacterales; Candidatus Pelagibacteraceae. The record is from RNAcentral.